AGUGAACGCUGGCGGUAGGCCUAACACAUGCAAGUCGAACGGCCGCACAGUAAGAGCUUGCUCUUACGGGUGGCGAGUGGCGGACGGGUGAGGAAUACAUCGGAAUCUACUUUUUCGUGGGGGACAACGUAGGGAAACUUACGCUAAUACCGCAUACUACCUACGGGUGAAAGCAGGGGAUCUUCGGACCUUGCGCGAUUGAAUGAGCCGAUGUCGGAUUAGCUAGUUGGCGGGGUAAAGGCCCACCGAGGCGACGAUCCGUAGCUGGUCUGAGAGGAUGAUCAGCCACACUGGAACUGAGACACGGUCCAGACUCCUACGGGAGGCAGCAGUGGGGAAUAUUGGACAAUGGGCGCAAGCCUGAUCCAGCCAUACCGCGUGGGUGAAGAAGGCCUUCGGGUUGUAAAGCCCUUUUGUUGGGAAAGAAAAGCAGCAGGUUAAUACCCCGCUGUUCUGACGGUACCCAAAGAAUAAGCACCGGCUAACUUCGUG
This 492-nucleotide ribosomal RNA is filed under the name uncultured bacterium. Its description in RNAcentral is "partial 16S ribosomal RNA". It matches the Rfam family "Bacterial small subunit ribosomal RNA", at positions 29 to 507 of the family's 1533-position model. The record is from RNAcentral.